Non-coding RNA from Araneus ventricosus, 89 nucleotides. The record is from the annotation of a GenBank genome assembly. Lineage: Eukaryota; Metazoa; Arthropoda; Arachnida; Araneae; Araneidae.
GCGGCCGUGGCUGAGUGGUCUAAAGCAAGGUGCUAUGAAGUACACCUGGAGACUUUGUCUCAACGUGGGUUCGAAUCCCGCCGGUCGCC